RNAcentral lists this ribosomal RNA (741 nucleotides) under Uperoleia littlejohni (Littlejohn's toadlet). RNAcentral describes it as "partial 16S ribosomal RNA". It matches the Rfam family "Bacterial large subunit ribosomal RNA", at positions 1473 to 2535 of the family's 2925-position model. Lineage: Eukaryota; Metazoa; Chordata; Amphibia; Anura; Myobatrachidae. The record is from RNAcentral.
UACAACAGUAUUGAGCGAUUCUAUAACCUUUAUAGAACCCACCCUGCUAAAAUUAGUAACACGAAGAGCCCUUCUCUAUGAUUCAAACGUAAAUCAGACCGGACUAAACCACUGAUAAUUAACGCUCAUGAGCCACUAGCGGCAACCCAACAAGAAAACCCCGCCCACACCUGCGUUAACCUGACACAAGCGAAUCCCAAGAAAGAUUAAAAAAAAGCGGAAGGAACUCGGCAAACCUCAGCCCCGCCUGUUUACCAAAAACAUCGCCUCUUGCCUCUAUAAGAGGUCCCGCCUGCCCAGUGACCCAAUUCAACGGCCGCGGUAUCCUGACCGUGCGAAGGUAGCGUAAUCACUUGUUCUUUAAAUAAGGACUCGUAUGAACGGCACCACGAAGGCUGCACUGUCUCCCGCCUUUAAUCAGUAAACUUAAUCUCCCCGUGAAGAAGCGGGGAUGUAACCAUAAGACGAGAAGACCCCAUGGAGCUUAAAACAUAAGGCACCUGCUAACAAAUAAAGUUAAGCACAUUGACCCCACGUUUUCGGUUGGGGCGACCACGGAGAACAACCCACCCUCCAUGCUGAAAGAUAAUAUCUUAGCCAAAAAUAACCCAUUUAAGCACCAGAACCCUGACAUCCAUUGACCCAAUCUAUUUGAUCAACGAACCAAGUUACCCUGGGGAUAACAGCGCAAUCCACUUCAAGAGCCCCUAUCGACAAGUGGGUUUACGACCUCGAUGUUGG